UAAAGCCCAAAACGUCAAAGUCAAAAACAUGAUUUAAAAAUCCUAACUAUAAAGGGGAGACCUAAAAUACACAGCCGUAUUCUUCACGCCAUUUAAUUUUUUUCUUCUUCAAGAAUAGCUGCUGAAUUUCUUCUUGAUGUGGCACUGCUCAAAAUAUGGCCCCAAACUCAUUUUGGGUUUGAGUUUGGAGUACCAUUAGAGAUGGUCUUAGAAAUCAAAAUUCAUGGGAGAAAGGUGUUUGGCUCACAGUUAUUUUGGAGUGAAGUCUGAUUCGUAGUGGGGGCAGGAGGCUUUUGACUUUCAAUUAAACGUAGGAUUUAAAGAUUUUGGAGAUGAAUUUAUUUGGAUGAGCCAUAUAUUUUUCAUAUUUCGAAAUUGAAGAGAAGAGGUUUGUGCUUUUAUAUGACUAGAAACUUAUGCAGAAAAUAUAUUCCUCUGUAUUGUUCGAUUUCUUCUCCAUCUUGUCUAUUCUCUCCCAAUUCUUCUAGAGCUUUUUAAAUUUGUGCAUCGAUUCUGUAUUGAUAGCCACUGAUUGUAUUUUGGUAAAAUCGUUUAUCAAGCUUGCAGUUUCAGAUAUUAGGGUGUGGUGAAAUUUGGAAUUCCGUCUCUACUUUUAACAUCAUAACUUAUUUAGAUGCAAAAAUAAUAGGAAUUAUUUUGAUUUUUGAAAUCCGUUGAUCUAAAAAUGAAAUUCAACAAUGUUAAAUGAAGAGCUAAUCGUGGAUUUAUGUUAAAUGAAGAGAGAAUAAUGAAUGAAUUGAAGAGAGAGAAACGUCUGAGAGAGAAAAUAUGGCGGUAGUCAUUUAAUCAUCAAGAUCUACGGUGGAUGCAUCAUUUUGUUGGUAUAGAAUGCAGAUCUGGGAAUCCUGAAGGGAGCAUUUUUUUUUAAAUUUUGUUAGUGCAUUAAUUUUAACAGCAAAUGCAUUAAUUUUUACAGUGGAUGCAUUAGAUUUGAUGGUUCUCCCGUUCUCACAAAUAAUGUAGUUCUCUCUAGAACCACACCCUAUAUAUAUAUAUAUAUAGGGGGGGCUAAAAUAAGAGCAUUUAUUAAAAUAUAAAAUAAGAAUCAUUUUCAGCCCUUAGAUCAUCAAGAUCUACGGUUGAUUCGUAAUCCUAUUUGAUGGAUUUAUGGUCCUGAGUUCGAAUCCCAAAGGUAGCAAAAAUUUAUUUUUCACAAUUCAUACCUUUAUACAACGAAUUCAUACGUGUUCUACAUAAAAUUCAUGCAUUAAAAAUUGCUCUUAUUUCUUAUUUUAAGAUGUGCUCUCACGGUAGCCCACCCCAAUAUAUAUAUAUAUAUAUGGGAGUGCUCCAAUGUGACCCCCUAUUUCUAGUGAGACCAGAGACACGAUCUCGUGCGUUUAUUUCAUCAAUUCUAUGGCUGAUAUUUUAUCUAGAGGGAUAAUUUUUUUUUCUCAGCGUUCGAAUCCUAGAGGGAGCGAAAUAUUUUAAAUUUCGUUAUUCAUCAGUAUAUACUGCAUUAUUCAUCGGUAUAUACUGCAUUGUUCAUCAGUUUAUAUGUCUUAUUCAUUACCAAUUUUUUAAAUUUCGUUAUUCAUCAGUAUAUAUGCCUUAUUCAUUGUCCUCAGUGUCUCACGAAAAAUAGGGGUUACGUCGUGUGUGUAUAUUAUAUAUAUAUAUAUAUAUAUAUAUAUAUAUAUAUAUAUAUAUAUAGGGAGGGGCUAGGGUGAAAACACCCCUUAGUGUAUAAAAUAGGAAUUAAUCCUAACCAUAGGAUUAUGUAAUCGGACGGUUAAGAUUGGAAUUUAAAGAUGUGUUUAAUUCAAAAUCAAAAUAUUGGUGAUUCAUGUGUUAAUAUCUAUUAAGGGCAAUUUUGCCAUAUAUUUUCUGGCUCUUUAUCUCCAACGAAACCUUCUCCGAAAAUAGUGUUGAAUUAAUAUGGAAAUUAAAUCUUGACAUGAUUGCUUCGGUGAAUUGAGCGUUAAUGCAGCGAAUCACGCAAAAUUCUCGUAUGAACAAAAAAGUGUAGGGUUAAGUUUAUUUCCUCCGAAUUGUCGCCGAUUUCUUUCUUUUCGCAAAAUUCCUCUGCGGAUGCACUUGAACUAUUGCAUAAAUUGAUACCCAAAAGCAGACAAGGUUUUUUUUUUUGUUUGGGAAUGGUGAGGACAAAACCUAAUACCCAUCAUGAGUUUUGAUUAUGCGACUCUGCGUUUCUUUAUUCAAUGAUUUAUUUUUUUCAAUUUUUUGCUGAUUUAUGUGUUGAUUUGUUAAAUUAGUCGAGUGGUUUAAUACAAAUUCUUCGUCGUAUGAAAUAAUAAAAUAUGUUUAAUGAUUUGUUUGGUUUUUUACACCAAUCUGUGUGGAAGAAUAGAGAUAAAUGAAGUGUACUUUUUGUGGAUCAAAUUUUCUUAAAAAAAAUUGCGUGUGAAAAUGAUUUUGUCCUUCUGUCUACUUUGCUCUAUAUUUUAAAAAAUUAUUGAUUAAACAUGUAUUUACUUUAAGAGGUCUCAAUUUUAAUUCUUUCCGCAUCGAACUUUGAUAAUAGAUGCUCAUUUGAAAUGAUACUUUACUUAUUGCCUAUUUCAGUAUGUGUGUACAUAGCGAACGGUGUGCUUUAGGCAUUAGGCAAACUUUAGGUGGCUGAAUUUUUUUUGGAUUUCUUUAUAUAUGACUUUUUUUUAAUAUGUAGCAUGAAUUUUUUAUGCAAAACAAUAUGUGUCGCUCAUGUAAUGUGUGCAUGUCAGUGCACAAAAAUUCUGUAGCACAUCGCAUGUAGUAUGAAUUAAUUUGGGAAACUGUAUGAAUGGCGUCUAAAAUUUUAACCUAUUUUAUUUAAAUCGGAUGUCUGUGCACUUAGUUAUAUGUCUGAUGCGUUCAAGCUGGAAUUCGAAGAAACAAAGAAUUUGAUGGUUCAUGCGCAGAUUAUUUUAACAACCUUACUCGUAGAUAAACUGGAGGACGAAAAAUGUGUCGAACUUGGUUCCUUCAUCUGCCAAUUGUGAUGGGGCGUUCUGAUACGAUUCCAAAUUUCUCAGAUCAUGCAAUGAUUUAAAUAAUUUUCGAUGGGACGUGAAUUUAAUUAAAAUAAUUUUCGAUUCGUGCUGUAUCAACACGUAAUGCAUGCAAUUUAAUUUUUAAUUCGUGUUGCAUCAAAACGUAAUUCAUAACUAAUAUGGCUACAAUAUUCACACAGAUAAUUAAUCACACAAUUGAUUGCAUGAAUUAUUUUAGCAAUUCCUGAAUCGGAUUAAAAUAAUUUUUGAUUCAUGUUGUAUCAACGCGUAAUGCAUGCAAUUUAAUUUUUAAUUCGUGUUGUAUCAAAACAUAAUUUUCAAUUUAAUUUUCUAAGCGUAAUGCAUGUAGUCGUGAAUCUGUUCGAUACAUUUAUGAAUUAUGGUUCUGCUAUAAAUUUUUCAUAAUGAUAUAGGAUUUAAUUCAUGAUGAAGCUUGAGUCUAAGAUUUGUAAUGUUUUUGCACUAUUCUCAUUUGUUUAUAAUGUCAGAUUUUUUUUCUAGCAAUUGUAAUUUGGGUGCAAUGUUGAAACAAAAAUUAUGCGUUGAAAUAGUUAUGUGAAAUUAUGAGUUUAUGAAGGCAAUUCAAAACAAACAAUAUAAUUAUCGUUUUAACUAAAUCUAUUUUAAUUUAAAGGUAAAAUGAUUAAACAACUAAGUUAGAUAAUUAAUUCAUCAAAUAUAUAAAUGUAAUUCAUACCAAACAUCUUUAGUAUUCAUUGAAAACAAAAGAAAUAUUCAUUUAAAACAAAAUCCAUACUAAUGAAUCAAUUCAUACCUGCAUUGUGAAUAUCCAUAAUGAAAACCACGAAUUCAUCAAAAGUUUUCAAGAUAAACAUACAUGGCAAAUUAAGAAAUAUAUUAACCACCAUAUAUUAACCACCUUUUUUUUUUUUUUAAAUUGUCUACUUCAUAACUAAAUAAUAGGUGUAUGUGAUUUGUCACAAAAAAAUAUUAUAUUCAUAUUUGGAAAAUAAAUAUAUUAACCACCAUCUAUUGUUUGUUUGUUUUUGUUUUUUUUUAAAUUGUCUACUUCAUAACUAAAUAAUAGGUGUAUGUGAUUUGUCACAAAAAAAAUAUUGUAUUCAUAUUUGGAAAAUAAAUAUAUUAACCACCAUCUAUUUUUAUUUUUAUUUUAACAAUUGUCUACUUCAUAUAUAAAUAAUAGGUGCAUGUGAUUUGUCACAAAAAUAUUAUAUUCAUAUUUGUACGAGAAAUAUAAGGUAAUACUAUUAAGACAUCAAUACACCUUGAUGAAUUGUGAUGAACAUACAUUUGAAUUCAUAAAGAUUUUAUGUGGAUCUAGUGUUGCAAGGUACGAAUUAUUAUUAUAACAAAAACAAUAUAUAUGAAUUAAUUCAAUUGAUGUAUUAUUGUUCGUAAAUGAAUGUUGAUGUACAGAAAAUCAAAUGAAGAACAGAGCAAACCUUGAUUAUCCAUCUUCAAAGUCGAAGAUAAUACAACUAUUGGAAAAACGGCAGAUUUAAUUAGUGACGUUGAGAGAUUAGAAAAACACAUACCGGAUUUGAUUCUAAGAUGGAAACAAUAUUAUAAUAAAUGAUGUGAUAUCCCUUAAAUCUUGAAAUAUCUCAAAUUAGAUGCGUAAAAUUACUUUAUAACCCAUUAUAAAACAGACGUGUGAAUUAUGGCUGAAGAAAUGGGCGAAAUCUGGUCAUCGAUAUUUUUUGAUCUAAAGGCCCAAAUUGGUUCCUAUUUUAUUGUUUAAAAACUGUUUUUAUUUUAGCCCCCUCUAUAUAUAUAUAUAUAUAUAUAUAUAUAUAUAUAUAUAUAUAUAUAUAUAANGAUGCAUAUUAUGAAAAUUGUCAUCUUGCCAUAUAUAUAUUAUUGAUGAGAAUGAGAUAUGGUAUGUUGCCUCUAUGAAAGACAUGAAUAUGAUCAUGAUGCAAGAUAUCGGCCUUUGACUGAUCUAGAUGACAGUAAAGGUUUUGUGCGCAGAGGUGAUCGUGAGCCGUCUCUAGUCGGCCGGUCACGGUGAUUUGAAGGAGGCCUCCUUCUCUUCACCUAGUAUAUAUAUAUGUAUACGAGUUCUCAUAGUUGGCACAUACCGUGAAUAUAAUGUCUGCAGACUAAUCUAUAUAAUAUAUAAAAGAGGAGUUUUUUCCCUCCAUGUUUUCCUUCUCUUUUUCUCUCUCUUCUUCCACUAAUUCUUUUUACUAUUUUUUCUUUUUAUUUUUUAUAAUUUAAUUCUUUUUUUAAAAUAUUGUCAAAUUUGAUUCAUUAAAAAAAAUACUCAAUAUGCAUAUUAAAUUUAAUAUAAUAUAAAAAUAUUUAAAAAUAAAUUUAAAAUGAAUAAGUUAUAAAUUUUAAAAAAUUUAAAAUAUUUUAUUUUCUCUCUUCAUCAAAAUUUUACAACUUUUUAUUUAUGUUUGUGCAUGGAAAUAUUUAUUUAUUUAUAAUGAUGUGUAAUACUAUAUAAUAAUAUGUGUAAUGCUAAUUUUCAUUAUCAAAUAAUUUUUUAAUAAUUAUUAUUAUCAUUACACCUUAUACAAAGUUGAAAAUUUACAUUUUCAAAUUAAAGAUUUUAUUGGGUAAUUGAUGUGGAUUAUUAGAUUUUAUUUUUAGAAAUAUUUUGUAUUUGUUUAAUAUUUAUUUUAUUUAUUUUUAUUUAAAUAUGUCAUUUCAUUUCGAUAUUCAUCGUGCAUCGCACGAAUGAGUAUACUAGUAAUAUACUAUAAAAGAGUAGUUUUUUUCCCCUCCAUGCAUCCUUUCCUAUCUUUUUCUCUCUCUUUUACCACUAAUUUUUUCACUAAUUUUUUCCUGUUUGUUUUUCAUAUUUUAAUUCUUUUAUAAACUGAUACGAUCCUUGUCGGACCGUUCAAACGAACACGCUAGCGGAAGACUUGAUAACGAAUGAUAGAUUAUGGAAGAUCUCAAAACCUCUGAAUCUACCCACGGAAUGAUUUAGGCGAAUUGAAUUCCCUAAUUCCCAACGUGACGUUGACGCAGCAACUUGGGGACGAUGAAUGACACCCGACGAGGGUUGUUGACUCGUUGUUACGUCGAUAGAUGAAUUCUCUUGGAAUUUUAAGAGGAAUUCAAAAACUCUCAAGAGAGAAAUAAAUGCACAAAUUUUAUAAAUCAAAGGCUGAUUUUCGUCCAACACAUAGAGGCCUAUAUAUAGGCGAAAAUAAAGAGUCCUAGUCUAAUAAGGAAACAACUUAACCUAAUCAAACCCUAAUUUCGAAAAUAACUAAUUCAGCCAAAUAAGGCCCUUAUUCCCCAUAAAAAUUCAAAAAUAACUAAUAAACUAGAAACUAUUGGACUCUAAAAUAACAAUACAGAAAAUAAAAUAAAUAAAGUCUUCCAACUUCAGCCCAACUGCAAAUAAAUAAAAAUCAAUGCGCCAACUUCACCAUCUUCAAAUAGCUUCUUCUUCAACUCCUGCUGACUCAACUAGAAACACCUCUAGAUUGACUUGCAAUAGAACAAGGACAUCCUAGCAAUGGUAAGUUGACCCAGUGUCAUCUCUCAAGGAAGAUCUUUAAGGGCUAUUAAUUAUGUCACAACGAAAGCAGUAAACUUNAUAUAUAUAUAGGGUAGGGCUACCAUGAAAACACUCUUAAGUGUAUAAAAUAUGGAUGAAAUCCAUCCGCCUAUCUAUCUUAUAUUGGUGGGCUAGAUUUAAAUUUCUUAGGUAUGAAAACACUCUUAAUGAUAAAAUAUUGAUCUCAUCCAUUACACUUAAAAGGAUGUCUGAUUAGAAGAUUGACCUUCUCUGUCUUGUUUACCAUUGUCGCAUUUUAUGAAAAAUUAUUAACUAAAACUUGACCUUCCUCUAUGAUUGAAUGCAUUAUUUAGCAAAUCUCAUGAAAGAUAUUCUGAAUUUUCAGAUCUUAAAUGCUUUUUAGUGGGAUUUGAAUAAACAAAUUAAUAGUUACGAAAAUAUUAACCAUCCACAAGCUUUCAGUCCCAGCGCAUAUAGAAGGCGGCGAAUCUAGGGUUUUUGAAGAGACGAAAUGUCGAAAACGAAGGGUGGAUCUUGAGGUUCGUUACAGUGGGUUGUUUCUUUGUUUUUUUCUUUUUUUUUUAAGUGGGUGAAGAUUCGUGGUUUGUUUUACAGUGGAACCCAUCUGCAAUCUCUCUCUCUCUCUGUGUUAAAUUUCUUGGAUUGUUGUGAAUAAUCGGUUCCUUAUGUGAAGAAUCAGUCAAAUUUUAGAAUGUCCCCCUUGUCUUGAAACGAUUGUGGGUCUUUAUGUCUUCAUAAGAUUUUAUUAUGCUUUGAUUUUUUUAUGUGUGCGGUCCAAAUUUGGGUUUUUGAGUUUUGGGGGUAUAGUUUUCGAUUGAUUCCAGUAAUCGAUUUUUUUUCAUUUUGGAUUUAUGUGCGCAGGUUUAUCUUAAUCAUAGGUACUGUGCGAAUUUGGAUUUACUUGAAUAAAUGAGUUCAUGGGAUGUGUAGAUGAGUGUAGAUGAACAGAUUUGUAUAAGUUUAAAUCACUAUUAUUUGGUUACAAAUUGUAAGUUUACAGUUGUAGAAUAUAUUAUUAGGGAGAUGUGAUAAUAUAUUUUCAUAUAAAAUGUGGGGAAGACGAAGAAUGGGACUAGAGGUUCGUAACAGUGGAUUUUUGUUACGAAUUUAGUUCUAUUUGUUACGAUUCGUAUUGUCUACUUUUUUGUUUAUUUGUUGUGUAUUUUUUGAUUUGGAAAAUUUUAUUCGCAGCCAACAACAAAUCAAAGGGAAAAGAGAAACACGAAGAUUCGUAGCCUGUCUGAUUCGUAAUCUGAUUUACUUGCAUUCGUAAUGUGUUUUUUGGUGUCAUUUGGUUUCUAUUUGACAUAAAGUAGUCCUUCUAUGCUUACUGUCUGAUACAUAUUUUGAUAUAUUAAGAUUUGUAACUUGUCUAAUUUGUGUUCUGAUUUAUUGACAUUCGUAAUGAGAUUUUAGGUGUUAUUUGGUUGCUAAUUGACAUAAGGUAAACCUUUUAUGCUUACUGUUUGAUGCAUAAAAGUAGUCACUUUAUGCUUAAUGUCAAAUUUAAUUUUAGGUGUUAUUUGGUUGCUAUUUGACAUAAAGUAGUCCUUUAUGCUUACUAUCUAAUUUGUAAUAUGAUUUACUGAAAUUCGCAACCUGUCUGAUUCGUAGUUUGAUAUAUUGAGAUUUGUAAUUUGGUUCUACAUGUCAUUGACAUAUAUUCUAUAUGGAUAAGGUUCAUUGGGCAAAUUGCAAUGUGCGUAGGAAUUUUCCACUUUUUAGGAACUGGAGCAACAAGAAGCUUAGAGAUAGAGAGACAGUGGGAAUUAAUUCUGGUGGGUUUGGCGAUGGCGUGUUGAUGGAACCAAUUCCUUUACCCGAGGUCAGGAGACUGUCGCCAUUGGAAAAUUUGGCAAAGAUGGUGGAGGUUUUAUGUGAAGCAUAGAGAUGAUAUGUCGUGUUUUAUAAACUUUGUUGAUGCUGCACUACUUGAGGAUGAAUGUUUUAGGAAGAGUUUAGAUGAUUAGUUGGUGGAUAUUUUUAUGCCUUACGUUCAUACCUAUUUUGAGGAUGCAUCUAGAUGUUUUAUAUUAUAUUCCUACUGAAUAAAUGAAGGUUAUUUUAUUAUUGAUUGGGUAGUUGUGUGCAAUAGAUAUUCAAAUGGUGAAAAUUAUUCCAUAAUAUAG
Molecule: long non-coding RNA, 8588 nt
Filed under: Salvia miltiorrhiza (redroot sage)
Lineage: Eukaryota; Viridiplantae; Streptophyta; Magnoliopsida; Lamiales; Lamiaceae
Description: long non-coding RNA (SMIL_LNC007947)
Source: RNAcentral